UUUGGGGCUUGCAAUUAUCUUUUGAUACAGUGGACGAAAAGGUCUCACUGGAAGAAAGCAAAGAAAAUGGAUCCUAUACAUUAUGGAGGACUCUUUUUCUGGAGUGGCAGCACGUCUUUUGUAUCACUGAUGAACACUCAAAGAUCCUUCCCACCAUCAAAUACCUGUAUUCCAGACUAGAUGACCUUGUAUUCCAUUUUCCAUCAUGUUCUUAGAUGAGGAUGAUUGGAUAAGAUUGCCUUUAAACCUUCUCAACAUUGCUCCUUCAUUUUCCAAAGACAUUGCUGUUGACCUGCCAUUCCCUCUCGACUCAGACACAAUAAGCUUACCAUAUAGCUUCUGCAUGACCUGAGGAUGGAGAACACUGUACUCUGCAUGUGCUUCACUUACCUAGAAAAGCCAUUAGCCCAGACAAUAAACUGCUAAAGGAGGCUGCAAAGUCAUAUCACUUUUAUGAUGUUGCUAUGCUAUGGAUGAUCCAAGUGAGGUCUUGUCCCAAUCUGCAAGUAUUCACCUGAACCUGCCUAAGUAUCAGAGUUUGUCUGUUUGAUCCUCAUCUGCUCUGUUGAGAUGCAUUGUGUGUCCAUCAAGCGUUCCAUGGAGAUGUGAAUAAGUUUGGAUCUAAGAUAUGUAUGUUGAACAUCCAGAGUAAGAGAUAUUUUGUUUGGAGGUGUGGGGGUAGGCUGGACUAUUAUAUAUACAGGAUCCUCUUGCAAAAUACCAAUUUGGACUUACAGCUGGAUUUUGAACUGCUUCAAAUAUAAGGGCUGUUGAUGGCUAGCUAUUUGGUUGAAGCCUAUCUCUAUGUAUAAUGGGCCAAAUUCUCUGCAGUUAUAAAUAGGUACUGUUAACUGAAGCCACAGGACUACAUCCAUUUACAGCAGCAGAGAAUGUCUUAAUCAAAUACAUUUUAUGUAUAUGCAAACUACAUAUCAGUUGCUAUAUUUCAAAUGUCCUGUUCAUUGGCUUCCUACAUAACAUUUGUAAUGUACUCACUCACUUCUUAUUGUUACAUACAUUUUAUGUGCCUUGAAAGCUUAAACACACUCCAGUACAUAUUCCCCCAAGAACUACUUAUAGAAAAGGAGUGUAAUUGUUUUCUCUGUGUGCAGUUACAGCCUUUCAAAUUGCUUUUGGGACACAGUCACCAAUGGAGAAUGAAGCUUUGGUUUUCAUUUUAGAGCAGCAGUCCGAGCAAGCAGAUGUAGCCAAAUGAGGCUGACAUUUAAAGCAACUACUAAGAUUACAUUACGGAGAUUAUAUUUAAUAUGGCUGGCCAAAUCUUUCGUACAAAAUCAAUGUUCUUUUACUUAAUAAUACCCUCAGCACAUCUUAAUGAAGGCUCCUUCAGGACAAGGUCCUAUUUUUCUCCAGUCAUUUUGUUCUGUGACAUCGCUGUCUGCAUCAGAUGGUACAUAAUGUUAUUUUCAUCUGUUUCUAUUGAAUUUACUACAUUCCCAUUUUUGAUUUGUCAAUUUCAAUAUCAAUUAAUCAAAGAAUUCUGAGGAGGGAAAUAUUUUAUUACAGAACAAGGAAGAGAAAUUAAUUUAAAUCUUGUGCUUUUCUCUAACACCCGCUUUGUAUUAAUGUUCCAUCCAGCAAUCAUCAGCAGGAGCAAAACCCUAGACCUUCAGCACAAGCCUCUCCUGCUUGAACUAAAGGACAAAGUGUGAGCAGAUGGUUCAUAGCCUCUUCUCUGUUAAGCAGGCAGUACUGGAAAAGGCCUGCUUUCACCCAAAUACUCCUGCCUUAAUUAGAAUAGACUUCACAUUCUCAUUAAGAGUCCCUCUUCCUAGCUUCUAAUUGCUAGGAAAACCAACAAGAAGGUUGUUUUGUUUUAUUUUUAAUUACUAUUUGAAUCACACAAAUAUCAUUACUGAUAGCGCUAUGUGACAUUAUCAGUGUGCCCAUGGGCAGAUCUAGAAUUUUGAAAAAGGGGGCGCAGAUGGUGAGGUGCAUCAUCACAUAUAAAAACACCACAUAUUUUUCAUCAGUUAAAAAUAAACUAGAAGCUUUACUAAUAUGCUAGUGGCUAGGGCUGUAUUAGUCAAUUAAAGAUUGAUGCAAAAACAAAUGUAACUUCAUUGGAAUGGCUUAAAAACAAUCUGUGCCGCUGUGAAAUAGGAGCUUCAUGACCAGGAGCAGCUAACAGACAGCAGAAUUGCAGAACAAAGGAUACUUCUACUGGGGGAACAUUAAGACUAUUCAAAAGAAGAGAGAAUCAUUAACACCUGUGGAAUGAAGAGUUUAGAAGGGAUCAGGUAGAUUAUAAUGAGCCAUGAAAUCAAGUGAACCCCCUCAGCACUGCCUGAGUUGAAAUGCUGCUGCCACUGCCACUGCCAGGCAGUUGGUUUAAAACUUUGGGCAGAACAAGAAACAAAAUGAGGUGCAAGUGCAUCAAUGCUCCCCCCUUCCCUGGGAUCCACCCCUGUGUGUGCCCCAUGGUAUGAUAGGACAUUCAGAAAUUAAGCUCUGGUGUACCAGGACCAGCUCUGGAGUCCCUUGAGAUACAAAUGAUUCCAGAGCAGAUUGAGAAACAUUUCUAGCACAUGCAGCUCUGCAAUCCAGAGUAGGCCAACUACAGAUACAUUCUACAAGGACCAAACCAGUUGCAGCCAUAAGAGGCUAAAAAAUAAAGAGCAAAAGGGUUGCUGUACCAGUGACUCCAGCUAUUGGCGAUGCAUAGGGGGUGCCCGUGGGUGUACAUGCACCCCCUGAGAUUGGCCGUGUACCUGCUGAGAUUGCUGCUGCCGGCGGUGUCUGUGGGUGGUUGCCGCUUGCCACCCCUCACUCCACUGCUGACAUUACCAGCAGUGUGUGUGGGUGGUCAUCAAUCGCCACUUGGCGCUCGCCACCCCCUCUCCCCCUGCUGCCGCCACACUGCAGCUGCAUGUGAGCGGAUCCUGCUCAGCCUGCCCUCACCGCUGACAUAACCACAGCUGCCUGUGGGUGAUCCUCACUCGCCACCACCAUACCUCCUCUGCCACUGCCUGCAGGCAGUCGCCAUGCUCCCCUAGCCUUGGACCACACGAGGCGUUCAUGACUCCAGCUUCAUUGGGGAUUGCCAGGCUAGUGUAGUUAAUGUAAGAGUCAUCUUGAACCUAUGUCUAAUUUCAAGCCAAAUGUCAUCCUUUGUUUGCAGGCUGCAAAUACUGUGUUCAUGAAUUCACUGCCUAAGAGUGAAUUUUGACUCACCAGGACCACUACAGUGAAUUCCAGGUGCUGGUCCAAGCUCAGCGCUUGACUGUUCUUGAACCCAGAAUUGUGACUCAAUUGUGAUAUUGUGUGCCUAAACAUCUAAUCCCACAAUGCACUUGUGGCAUCUCUGUCACAAGCUGCAACAUAUUGCCCCAAUAUUGUAGCAUAAUAUGGCAUGACUUUCCUUCCUAAAUCUGUAAUCAAAUUCAUUCAACUAUAGCUACUUUUAGCACAGUGACUCCAUUUUCCUUUAUACAUACACUGGCUAGAUCAGAUGUUUCAUUUUGCCUUAUAGCCAAAUGACAAAUAAGGAGAGGAAGGGAGGGGGAAGGGAAGACCGUUCAUGAAAAAUAGAAAAGCAUCAUCUUGAUAUUGGAGAAAAAAGAUGAGUAAGUCCUACAGAGCUAUAUAAAUAUCAUAGAUGAAAAUAGAAAGACAGUUUGAAUAAAAUUGGAUGUUUCCACAAGCCCUCACCCUUGACUCAAUCCAAGGUAUCUUUGCAGGUCAUAAAAUCCAGUAAAACAUUUUUCCUUUGCUGCUUUUUUAUGUAUAUGCAAAGUGACCCUGCACUCUCUCACUCUGACUGCAGCCAAAAGCAAAAGCACCAGAAUGCCUUGGGAAAUGCAUGCAUGCAUCCUCUCACACUUUAUUUACAUUACUACCCACAGCACAAAAGUACCAGAAAACUGACCAGGAAGUCUUCAGCUCCAACAAACUGCUCAGCACUUAGUCUACGCUUAACUGAACUUCAUUCAUUAUGUAUCUACAAGACGCACCUAAUCUAGAACCCAAACCCCAAAGAUCUGAAUGCCUCCAAAUAUUGUGGUAGUUCAGAUCUGGUCCUAAACGUUGUGGCUGGGCUUUCUCUGUGCACAGUGGACUGAACCAAACCCCAGACCCAAACACUCUUGAAUAUGAAUCAAGCUUGAUUCUUUGUCUAAGCUCACAGCUGAAUUAAUUCAGGUCGGCAUCUCUUUACACAAAUGCUGAUGAAAGGAAGGUGGACAUUCAGGUCUACAGAAAUUCUGUGCCAGUGUGUAGGCUGCAAAAUUUAAAAAGGGAUUAAUAAAAUACAAGCUAGAAAUUAAAAAAUAACAUUGGAUGGACUAUGAUCUUAUUUUCCAUGUUCCACCAGAGCCUUUAUCAAUCCCAUCUUUUUUUUUUUUUUUUUACUAGAAGAAAACCCGCCAGUUGCCACAGGGUUCUUAGUGAGAAUGCAUUUCCCCACCCCCCUUUGCAGAGGAAAGGCACAAGCUGGUGAUUCUUGUUUGCUAAAGACAGAUACCCCAUAAUGGAUGAGGCAUCUUCCUGGAAUUCGCAUUCUAUGCCCAAGGACCAAUUGGCACAUCUACCUGAUGUUGCAAGGAGAACGUCAGAACAGGAUCACAACAGGACCACACUACAGUGCCGUGUCGAGGCUAAGAUGCUGCAGGCAAAAUUCCACAGGGAUGUUGACAGAGCACAGCAGCAGGACACCGCACUCCAUUACAUGGCUCAGUACAGGUACUUCCAGCUGCUAAUUGAGGUACUGAAUUGGCAUGAACACCGAGGGACAGAGACUUCCAAGGCAUCCUGUCCUGCAGACAGUUUGCCAACCAUGGCUGCCACUCGCAGGCAAUCCAGGGACUCCAGUGGAGAAGAAAGCAAAAGAGUCCCGGCCAUGCCACCAUCCGGUUCCUCCAAGGAGGGUAGACCAAGGACCUUGAUCUCCACACCUGGUAUGUGAAGCCCUGGGGAACUUUAUAGUCACCUGUCACCUGAAUUGACAGCUGUUUGCAGCUGGAUUGUACUUGUUUACAGCCACUCAGGGUCUGCUACCAACUGUGGCCAGGCACCCAUUCUCGGUAAUUUUGGUUCGAAUGCUUUCUUUCCGCACACAUGCAAGAUUCGCUGAGUGUGUCUAUUUUGAGUGGCAAGAGUCCUUAAUUCACUCUAUUUCACACAUUUGUUGAUUUUCUUGAUUUCCUUGAUUUUCAGCUCUGAUUCCAAGGAUACCCAGGCAACUAAGGCAGACUGUAUCCAGUGCUAGAACUGACAGGGUGGUGAAUGCCCUCAGGGAAUGUGAACAGUGGGUGCAAGAGCUGGUCAGACAGGUUAGUUGUGCUGUGGGAAGCAUCAUGGGAAUCCAACACAAAAGGAACUAUGCUAAGUCCAGGAGGCAUUCCAACACACAGCAGGACAGGAAAGUACUGAUGGGCAUACUGCUAACCAUUCUAUGCCUGGUGGUCAUCAGACCCGGUCCUGCAGCAGCCUCUGCACCUGCCCAUGCCAGUGAGCAGCAACGGUGGGCAUGGAUCUGCACUCUGCAAUCCAACAGUUCUCUGUCAAGCUCAGAAUAAUUAGUAAGAAUAGUUAUUAAUUAGCUCUGAGUAGUUAGUAAUUGUUAUAGUAAUUGUUUAGUUAUUGUCAUAGUAAUAGUUUAGUUAAUUGUUAUAGUAUAAUUAUAGUACAGUAAUCCAUAGUUAUUCAUAGUACUUUUGAAUCAAAAUUUUUAAAAAGUUGUUCUUUGGUUUGUUUCCUUUUUUAUUUUUGUUGUUUGUAAAUAAAGUUUUCUAUUCCCUUUGUUGCA
Molecule: RNA transcript, 5767 nt
Organism: Alligator mississippiensis (American alligator)
Lineage: Eukaryota; Metazoa; Chordata; Crocodylia; Alligatoridae
Exons: 2
Source: RefSeq, a predicted model, not a curated record